UUACCUGGCCUUGACAUGUACCGAAUUUGGGAGAGAUUCCUUAGUGCUCGAAAGAGAACGGUAACACAGGUGCUGCAUGGCUGUCGUCAGCUCGUGUCGUGAGAUGUUGGGUUAAGUCCCGCAACGAGCGCAACCCUUGCCAUUAAUUGCCAUCAUUUAGUUGGGCACUUUAAUGGGACUGCCGGUGACAAACCGGAGGAAGGUGGGGAUGACGUCAAGUCCUCAUGGCCCUUAUGGCCAGGGCUUCACACGUAAUACAAUGGUCGGUACAGAGGGUUGCCAACCCGCGAGGGGGAGCCAAUCCCAGAAAGCCGAUCGUAGUCCGGAUUGUAGUCUGCAACUCGACUACAUGAAGUCGGAAUCGCUAGUAAUCGCGGAUCAGCAUGUCGCGGUGAAUACGUUCCCGGGCCUUGUACACACCGCCCGUCACACCAUGGGAGUGGGUUUUACCAGAAGUAGGUAGUCUAACCGUAAGGAGGACGCUUACCACGGUAGUAUUCAUGACUGGGGUGAAGUCGUAACAAGGUAACC
RNAcentral lists this ribosomal RNA (531 nucleotides) under uncultured Methylophilus sp. Its description in RNAcentral is "bacterial SSU rRNA". It matches the Rfam family "Bacterial small subunit ribosomal RNA", at positions 971 to 1501 of the family's 1533-position model. Lineage: Bacteria; Pseudomonadati; Pseudomonadota; Betaproteobacteria; Nitrosomonadales; Methylophilaceae. The record is from RNAcentral.